GUCAUCUCACAAGAAAAUAUAUCAGCAGGAAAGCUUAUCAAAGACUGAUGAGCUGCUGAUUGACAUUAGAAGAAUCAAUAAAGUCAGACAAGAGCAGGCACCAGUAUUUGAAGUGAACGUGGUUCUUCGCAAUAUAUCCGCUCAGGAACUGGCUGAAAAAGGGGAUCAUUACAAAGGAGAUACCACCUGCGCUGUAGAAAACGCAGAAGUAAAGAAACAAGUGACUUUUAAUCCAGAGGAAGCAGAGUUCUGCGGGUCUGAAGAAUCUGAUGAGGAAGAGGAGGCAGC
Bombina bombina (fire-bellied toad) is the source of this 288-nucleotide long non-coding RNA. RefSeq lists it as uncharacterized. NCBI's taxonomy places the organism in Eukaryota, Metazoa, Chordata, Amphibia, Anura, Bombinatoridae. The transcript is spliced from 3 exons. The record is from RefSeq and is a predicted model, not a curated record.